AUGUUAUAUGAAAGGAGAGAAGGCUUGCACUCCCUUUGAUAAGGAUGGAAGGGGUCCUACCUGCCUUACAAUACACAAAUAGUUAAGGCAUGCCACCUACUUAGUGGCAUAUGGGCUAUCUUACUGC
Small nuclear RNA from Chiloscyllium plagiosum (whitespotted bambooshark), 127 nucleotides. The record is from RefSeq and is a predicted model, not a curated record. NCBI's taxonomy places the organism in Eukaryota, Metazoa, Chordata, Chondrichthyes, Orectolobiformes, Hemiscylliidae.